UCUAAAAUGGCAGAUAGAUGCACAAGAUUUAAGCUCUUGUUAGGGAGAAAAUUCUUCUUUUAGAA
Molecule: transfer RNA, 65 nt
Filed under: Blepharipoda liberata
Lineage: Eukaryota; Metazoa; Arthropoda; Malacostraca; Decapoda; Blepharipodidae
Description: tRNA-Leu
Source: RNAcentral